Molecule: small RNA, 28 nt
Filed under: Bombyx mori (domestic silkworm)
Lineage: Eukaryota; Metazoa; Arthropoda; Insecta; Lepidoptera; Bombycidae
Description: ovarian small RNA-25525
Source: RNAcentral
UCAGAAAUCUCACUGACGCGAUGGGCUA